GGCAGUGAGACGGCGGGGGAUAAGCUCCGUGCGUCGAGAGGGAAACAGCCCAGAUCGCCGGCUAAGGCCCCUAAGCGUGUGCUAAGUGGAAAAGGAUGUGCAGUCGCAAAGACAACCAGGAGGUUGGCUUAGAAGCAGCCACCCUUGAAAGAGUGCGUAAUAGCUCACUGGUCAAGUGAUUGUGCGCCGAUAAUGUAGCGGGGCUCAAGCACACCGCCGAAGCCGCGGCAACGCAGCAAUGCGUUGGGUAGGGGAGCGUCCUGCAUCCGGUGAAGCCACGGAGUGAUCCAGUGGUGGAGGGUGUGGGAGUGAGAAUGCAGGCAUGAGUAGCGAUAAGGCAAGUGAGAACCUUGCCCGCCGAAAGACCAAGGGUUCCUGGGGCAGGCCAGUCCGCCCAGGGUGAGUCGGGACCUAAGGCGAGGCCGACAGGCGUAGUCGAUGGACAACGGGUUGAUAUUCCCGUACCCGUGUGUGAGCGCCCAAUGACGAAUCAUCGGUACUAACCGCCCAAAAGGUGACUAACCGAGUCCUUUUAGGACAAGGGGGUCGCCGGCUGCGCGGGACCUUCGGUGGUAGUAGUCAAGCGAUGGGGUGACGCAGGAAGGUAGCCGUACCAGUCAGUGGUAAUACUGGGGCAAACCUGUAGCGCGAGAUCUAGGCAAAUCCGGAUCUCUUCAUGCGUGAGAGGUGAUGCAUAGCCGAGUGAGGCGAAUUCGGUGAUCCUCAGCUGCCGAGAAAAGCCUCUAGCGAGCACACACACGGCCCGUACCCCAAACCAACACAGGUGGUCAGGUAGAGAAUACCGAGGCGUACGAGUGAACUAUGGUUAAGGAACUCGGCAAAAUACCCCCGUAACUUCGGGAGAAGGGGGACCCCCUGCGGUCAAGGCCCACGCGGCCGGCAGCGGCGGGGGGUGGCACAAACCAGUGAGAAGCGACUGUUUACUAAAAACACAGGUCCGUGCGAAGUCGCAAGACGAUGUAUACGGACUGACGCCUGCCCGGUGCUGGAAGGUUAAGAGGACCCGUUAACCCCUCGGGGUGAAGCGGAGAAUUUAAGCCCCAGUAAACGGCGGUGGUAACUAUAACCAUCCUAAGGUAGCGAAAUUCCUUGUCGGGUAAGUUCCGACCUGCACGAAUGGCGUAACGACUUCUCAACUGUCUCAACCAUAGACUCGGCGAAAUUGCACUACGAGUAAAGAUGCUCGUUACGCGCGGCAGGACGAAAAGACCCCGGGACCUUCACUAUAGCUUGGUAUUGGCGUUCGAUACGGUUUGUGUAGGAUAGGUGGGAGACUAUGAAACUCACACGCCAGUGUGGGUGGAGUCGUUGUUGAAAUACCACUCUGAUCGUAUUGGACUUCUAACCUCGAACCGUCUAUCCGGUUCAGGGACAGUGCCUGGUGGGUAGUUUAACUGGGGCGGUUGCCUCCUAAAAUGUAACGGAGGCGCCCAAAGGUUCCCUCAACCUGGACGGCAAUCAGGUGUU
RNAcentral lists this ribosomal RNA (1488 nucleotides) under activated sludge metagenome. RNAcentral's name for it is "bacterial LSU rRNA". It matches the Rfam family "Bacterial large subunit ribosomal RNA", at positions 979 to 2346 of the family's 2925-position model. The record is from RNAcentral.